RNAcentral lists this ribosomal RNA (320 nucleotides) under uncultured eukaryote. RNAcentral's name for it is "partial 18S ribosomal RNA". It matches the Rfam family "Eukaryotic small subunit ribosomal RNA", at positions 1470 to 1796 of the family's 1831-position model. The record is from RNAcentral.
CCCCUAGAUGUUCUGGGCCGCACGCGCGCUACACUGAACAGUUCAACAAGUCUUAACCUUGGCCGAUAGGUCUGGGUAAUCUUUGAACGCUGUUCGUGAUUGGGAUAGACCUUUGCAAUUAUGGGUCUUCAACGAGGAUUUCCUAGUAAACGCAAGUCAUCAGCUUGCAUUGAUUACGUCCCUGCCCUUUGUACACACCGCCCGUCGCACCUACCGAUUGAAUGGUCCGGUGAAAUCUCGGGACGGCGGCUUGGUCGCUUGCGUCCGACUGCUGAAACUUGAUUAAACCAUAUCAUUUAGAGGAAGGUGAAGUCGUAACA